This is a long non-coding RNA of Pistacia vera, 257 nucleotides long. RefSeq lists it as uncharacterized. The record is from RefSeq and is a predicted model, not a curated record. The transcript is spliced from 2 exons. NCBI's taxonomy places the organism in Eukaryota, Viridiplantae, Streptophyta, Magnoliopsida, Sapindales, Anacardiaceae.
ACCCACGAACUCAACAAGGCCCUUUCAAAUCCUUCAAUAAAGGAAGGUCUGUUUGAUGAUACAGGAGGUUAUCCAGAUAUGGUGUCAUUUCAAAAGGUUCCUGCCUCUUUCAGCUGCCUGAUGAUUAAAAAUUUUCCAAAAUCGGUGUUCGUAUCCUCUCUGGCUGCCCAAAGAUUGAAACCUUUCCAGAUAAAGGGUCUGCCUUCCUCCCUUCUGCAAAUUACAUAUCUUUGAAACACUUCUGCUAGAAAAAAAAA